GAUGAACGCUGGCGGCGUGCCUAAUACAUGCAAGUCGAGCGGAAAGGCCCUUCGGGGUACACGAGCGGCGGACGGCUGAGUAACACGUAGGAACGUACCCCAAAGUGAGGGAUAAGCACCAGAAAUGGUGUCUAAUACCGCAUGUGCUCCAAGGAGUAAAGCUUUAUGCGCUUUGGGAACGGCCUGCGUCCGAUUAGCUAGUUGGCGGUUUAAUAGACCACCAAGGCAACGAUCGGUAGCUGGUCUGAGAGGAUGAUCAGCCAGACUGGGACUGAGACACGGCCCAGACUCCUACGGGAGGCAGCAGUAGGGAAUUUUCCACAAUGGGCGAAAGCCUGAUAGAGCAACGCCGCGUGCAGGAUGAAUGCCUUCGGGUUGUAAACUGCUUUUAUUGGUGUCGAUUAUGACGGUAACCAAUGAAUAAGGACCUGCUAACUACGUGCCAGCCGCCGCCGUAA
This 458-nucleotide ribosomal RNA is filed under the name uncultured bacterium. RNAcentral's name for it is "partial 16S ribosomal RNA". It matches the Rfam family "Bacterial small subunit ribosomal RNA", at positions 28 to 523 of the family's 1533-position model. The record is from RNAcentral.